Molecule: transfer RNA, 71 nt
Filed under: Loxodonta africana (African savanna elephant)
Lineage: Eukaryota; Metazoa; Chordata; Mammalia; Proboscidea; Elephantidae
Rfam family: tRNA
About the family: Transfer RNA (tRNA) molecules are approximately 80 nucleotides in length. Their secondary structure includes four short double-helical elements and three loops (D, anti-codon, and T loops). Further hydrogen bonds mediate the characteristic L-shaped molecular structure. tRNAs have two regions of fundamental functional importance: the anti-codon, which is responsible for specific mRNA codon recognition, and the 3' end, to which the tRNAs corresponding amino acid is attached (by aminoacyl-tRNA synthetases). tRNAs cope with the degeneracy of the genetic code in two manners: having more than one tRNA (with a specific anti-codon) for a particular amino acid; and 'wobble' base-pairing, i.e. permitting non-standard base-pairing at the 3rd anti-codon position.
Source: Rfam by way of RNAcentral
GCAGUGGUGGUUCAGCGGUAGGAUUCUUGCCUUCCACGCGGGAGACCUGGGUUAAAUUCUCAGCCAGUGCA